CACUCAGUUCUGGGUGAGAAGACACAGAAUGGACUCACAAUUGCUGAUGUAUAGGUUCUAAUGUUUUCUAUUGUGGACACGGGACACCCAGACUGAGAACCAAUGGCUCCAGUCUGAUUUAAACAUGGGUCCGUGCUCACACACUCAAUACCUACCCUCUGUGCUCACAAGUCCUGUGUGAGUAAGACUCCAAAUUAUUCUGUCUUGUUUUACUCAAUGGUAUGCUCUACCUUAUUAUAGAGUAUACCAUGUAUUGAGACAAGAAUGCCAGUCAUUCUGAGAAACAAAAUGCAACCAUUAGUUGUCAUUUUAAUUAGUGACGAAUAGUUGUGUCAAUCAUCAAACAUGCUUGUAUAAUUGGAUGAGAAGAGGUGUAACACGGGCCAAUGAUGACGAGGUUUCGGGAUUAUAAGUCACGGACGAUGACUACGUCACUAGAGGUCUGAGGUCCAUAGCAGAAGAUGCCUCAUGUGACCCUCUCAUGCAGGGGUUGCAUGUCAGGCAUGUGCAUACAGUAGAUAUUAGCCAUGCACUCUCACCAUUUCAUAGUAGAUCACAGAAUCAAGAUACAAAUCUCCAUGCACGGAAAGGAUUUAAGGCAUUGAUCAAUCCUGAACAUAAAUAUUUGGCCAUCAAUGAUAUUUACGCACACACUGAAAAAUCUAUUCAGAAUGACUUACACAAAGGUUUAUAUAACCUUUAUCAAAGGUAAUUUAUAUAGUAAGAUUCAUGGCUGAAGUCUUCAUGAUGGUCAAGGCCUUAAUUUUUAAAAUUAUCAAUUUUUUUCUUUUCUUUUUUUUUAACUUGAAUUUUUUUUUAAUGAAAACUAUCAUGACAAUUUGUCUCUUAAAUGAAAGGAGAAAUGUAAAACUAAAUGGACAAAUAUCAACCUUUUUAUUAUCUUUGCUGUUGUGCCCUCCCUGGAUGGGUGCUGGCACAUGAUGUCUUGCCUGCUGGUCCGUGGUUGCACUCUCACCAUGUGGAUGGAGCUCGGCAGCUGAAAAUGCAUUCUUCCACCAAGAUGAUUUACACAGCCUAGCUGGAUCAGGAGCCCCCUAAUAAGCUGCUUCAGAUUGUAAUAUAGACACAGUAAUGUAUGCCUGCAGGAUGAGUCCCACCUUCUUCAUUAGUCUUGAGGUUUGAGAUUCCCUGUUUGUGUCUGCAGGAUUCAGAUAGUAAUGGAUAUCCUGCAAGUCGGCUUCGUAGAGUCUCCCUUGAAAGUGGACCUCAUGAUCUAGCCUUUAUGUCCGUGGAUUGACACUGUGAUGGAUUCCCCCCAAGUUCAUUUAGAUAUUCUCUCUUAUUCAUAAAUGUCACGGUCAGCUCUGUUCUUAUAGAUACCAGAAUGGAUACCCCUAAGCUGAUGUAUAUACACCCUUCCUCGGUUGUGAGAUUCCUGCUCUGGUGGUUGUAGUCAUAAGAUAUACAUCGUUGCGUACACCUUGGUUGUGGGCACGCACACUACUGUUGAAUUACCACCUUGUCCAAGUGGAUGGAUGCCCUCAAUGGGAUUGGCACUUUCUCCAUUGCUCCUGCACUCUGUUAUCAGCACUUCGGGUUCAUAAUGUACACACAGCAAUGGAUUUUCUGCAGCUGAUUUUCUAUAUUCUGUUUUCUUCGGAACAGAUGCCUUCCUCACUGGUCACCAGGUUCAAGGUCCCUCAUAUGUGUCAGGUGCAUAGUCACCAACAAAGGCCAACUUCACAUCAAUGGGUGGAUCGUACCUCGGCCUAAGCUCCAGGAUUGAUUGUGCUGUUAGAGUCACAGCUACAACCGGCUCAGGGAACCCAGUGGAAGAGGAGGUGGAGUGUGAGAGCCAAUUGGAAUGGAAGACAGUGAGGAAACAAGGCCUUCGAGACACAAGAGGACUGCUGAGCUCACAAAGACUGAGGCAGCACCCUCAGGACCUGCACAGGUCUAAGCUUGAUGCGAUCUGAGUACUGAGAGGGCAACUGGACACAAUUCUAUAUUGAUAACCCAGAAGCUUUCUCCAGUUGAUAAACUCUUUCAAAGGAAAAACUUGUUUUCUACCAUGGAGUGACACUGGAUAUAGAAACUACCGUUAACAGCAGACUCCAUGGCUCAGACUUCCAAUACAAUAUGAACUCAGUUGCAAUUUUUUGCAAGGUUUUUCGACUCAUAGUUCUUUGUCUGGGUACUUUUUCACCCUACAGAGAAUUUCUGUAUAUAUUAUCGUUUCUGAUUCUAGUGUUUUGAAUUUUCGCUGGGUCUAAAUAUCUCUGUCUCAGUGUCAGUAUGUGUUUCUCAUGAUUUUUCUUUGCUUCUCUUUUUCCUAUUCUUUGCUUGUAUUCCCUGGUUUGUGUUUGAGUGUCUGGGAACUCUGAGGGUCUGGUUGGUGAUAUUGUUGUUCUUCCUAUGGGGUUGAAAACCCCUUCAGCUCCUUCAGCCUUUCACUAAGUCCUCCAUUAUUAUGAUUCCUAUGCUCAGUCCAGUGGUUGGAUGUGAGCCCCCCCCCCCCUCUGCAUUUGUCAGGCUCCGGCAGAGCCUCUAAGGAGAUAGCUAUAUUAGGCUCUUGUCAGCUUUGUUUGUUUUUAUUCUGUCUUCUCUAUACUGUUUAUUUUAGAUAACUGUGUUUAUUCUAAUGUAUGAAUGAAUAAAUGGGUGUGUGUUUGGGUGGGUGGGGAAUUGGGGAGGGUGGGGGUGGAUGUGGGAGGGGAAACUGUAACACAAAUACAUUGUAUAAAAGUACAUUUUAAUAAAUGUAUUUCUUCUAUGACUAAAAAAA
RNAcentral lists this long non-coding RNA (2746 nucleotides) under Mus musculus (house mouse). Its description in RNAcentral is "RNA imprinted and accumulated in nucleus". The stretch from base 380 to 453 matches the Rfam family "Small nucleolar RNA SNORD113/SNORD114 family". Lineage: Eukaryota; Metazoa; Chordata; Mammalia; Rodentia; Muridae. The record is from RNAcentral.